GGGGAGGAUUUGGGGUUUUGCUGGGCUGCUAUCAUGCAGUCGACGAACUCCGGUAUUGUGUGGUGCUUGCAUCGUGAUUUACAUUUGAGUGAGUGGCGAACUGGUGAGUAACACGUGGGAAUCUGCCCAAAGCGGGGGAUAACACCUGGAAACGGAUGCUAAUACCGCAUAACAACUUGGACCGCAGGGUUUUAGUUUGAAAGAUGGCUUCGGCUAUCACUUUUGGAUGGCCCCGCGGCGUAUUAGCUAGAUGGUGAGGUAACGCCUCCCCAUGGCAAUGAUACGUACCCGACCUGAGAGGGUAAUCGGCCACUUUGGGACUGAGACACGGCCCAAACUCCUACGGGAGGCAGCAGUAGGGAAUCUUCCACAAUGGACGAAAGUCUGAUGGAGCAUGCCCGCGUGAGUGAAGAAGGGUUUCGGCUCGUAAAACUCUGUUGUUAAAGAAAAACAUAUCUGAGAGUAACUGUUUCAGGUAUUGACGGUAUUUAACCAGAAAGCCACGGCUAACUACGUGCCAGCAGCCGCGGUAAUACGUAGGUGGCAAGCGUUGUCCGGAUUUAUUGGGCGUAAAGCGAGCGCAGGCGGUUUUUUAAGUCUGAUGUGAAAGCCUUCGGCUCAACCGGAGAAGUGCAUCGGAAACUGGGAGACUUGAGUGCAGAAGAGGACAGUGGAACUCCAUGUGUAGCGGUGAAAUGCGUAGAUAUAUGGAAGAACACCAGUGGCGAAGGCGGCUGUCUGGUCUGUAACUGACGCUGAGGCUCGAAAGUAUGGGUAGCAAACAGGAUUAGAUACCCUGGUAGUCCAUACCGUAAACGAUGAAUGCUAAGUGUUGGAGGGUUUCCGCCCUUCAGUGCUGCAGCUAACGCAUUAAGCACUCCGCCUGGGGAGUACGGCCGCAAGGCUGAAACUCAAAGGAAUUGACGGGGGCCCGCACAAGCGGUGGAGCAUGUGGUUUAAUUUCGAAGCUACGCGAAGAACC
Molecule: ribosomal RNA, 982 nt
Filed under: Lactiplantibacillus plantarum
Lineage: Bacteria; Bacillati; Bacillota; Bacilli; Lactobacillales; Lactobacillaceae
Description: bacterial SSU rRNA
Rfam family: Bacterial small subunit ribosomal RNA
Source: RNAcentral